AGAGUUUGAUCCUGGCUCAGAUUGAACGCUGGCGGUAUGCUUAACACAUGCAAGUCGAACGGAAACGAAACUAGCUUGCUAGUAGGCGUCGAGUGGCGGACGGGUGAGUAACGCGUAGGAAUCUGCCUGAUAGUGGGGGAUAGCCCGAAGAAAUUCGGAUUAAUACCGCAUAAUCUAUUCGUAGUAAAGUGGGGGACUUUCGAGCCUCACGCUAUCAGAUGAGCCUGCGUAAGAUUAGCUUGUUGGUAGGGUAAAAGCCUACCAAGGCAACGAUCUUUAGCUGGUCUGAGAGGAUGAUCAGCCACAUCGGGACUGAGACACGGCCCGAACUCCUACGGGAGGCAGCAGUGGGGAAUAUUGGACAAUGGGGGCAACCCUGAUCCAGCAAUACCGCGUGUGUGAAGAAGGCCUGAGGGUUGUAAAGCACUUUCAAUUGUGAAGAAAAGUUAACGGUUAAUAACCGUUGACCUUGACGUUAACUUUAGAAGAAGCACCGGCUAACUCCGUGCCAGCAGCCGCGGUAAUACGGAGGGUGCAAGCGUUAAUCGGAAUUACUGGGCGUAAAGCGUGCGUAGGCGGUUUAUUAAGUCAGAUGUGAAAGCCCCGGGCUUAACCUGGGAACUGCAUUUGAAACUGGUCAACUAGAGUAUGGUAGAGGAAAGUGGAAUUUCUGGUGUAGCGGUGAAAUGCGUAGAUAUCAGAAGGAACAUCAAUGGCGAAGGCAGCUUUCUGGACCAAUACUGACGCUGAGGUACGAAAGCGUGGGUAGCAAACAGGAUUAGAUACCCUGGUAGUCCACGCCGUAAACGAUGAUAACUAGCCGUUGGGGGGAUUUACCCCUUAGUGGCGAAGCUAACGCGUUAAGUUAUCCGCCUGGGGAGUACGGCCGCAAGGCUAAAACUCAAAGGAAUUGACGGGGACCCGCACAAGCGGUGGAGCAUGUGGUUUAAUUCGAUGCAACGCGAAGAACCUUACCUGGUCUUGACAUCCUGCGAACUUUCUAGAAAUAGAUUGGUGCCUUCGGGAACGCAGUGACAGGUGCUGCAUGGCUGUCGUCAGCUCGUGUCGUGAGAUGUUGGGUUAAGUCCCGUAACGAGCGCAACCCCUAUCCUUAUUUGCCAGCACAUUAUGGUGGGAACUAUAAGGAGACUGCCGGUGAUAAACCGGAGGAAGGCGGGGACGACGUCAAGUCAUCAUGGCCCUUACGACCAGGGCUACACACGUGCUACAAUGGGAAGGACAAAGAGCCGCGAAGCCGCGAGGUGUAGCUAAUCUCAAAAAUCUUUUCGUAGUCCGGAUUGGAGUCUGCAACUCGACUCCAUGAAGUCGGAAUCGCUAGUAAUCGUAGAUCAGAAUGCUACGGUGAAUACGUUCCCGGGUCUUGUACACACCGCCCGUCAUACCAUGGGAGUGGGUUGCACCAGAAGUGGCUAGUCUAACUUUGUGAGGACGGUCACCACGGUGUGAUUCAUGACUGGGGUAAAGUCGUAACAAGGUAACC
RNAcentral lists this ribosomal RNA (1501 nucleotides) under uncultured bacterium. RNAcentral's name for it is "bacterial SSU rRNA". It matches the Rfam family "Bacterial small subunit ribosomal RNA". The record is from RNAcentral.